This 73-nucleotide transfer RNA is filed under the name Candidatus Woesearchaeota archaeon. Its description in RNAcentral is "tRNA-Pro". It matches the Rfam family "tRNA". From Rfam's summary of the family: Transfer RNA (tRNA) molecules are approximately 80 nucleotides in length. The record is from RNAcentral. Lineage: Archaea; Nanobdellati; Candidatus Woesearchaeota.
GGGGCUGUAGUGUAGCUUGGUAUCACCCGCGGUUCGGGGCCGCGUAACCGGAGUUCGAAUCUCCGCAGUCCCA